GGGCCGUGGGAGAUGACCACGUCGAUAGGCCGUAGGUGGAAGUGCAGCGAUGCAUGCAGCCGAGCGGUACUAAUUGCCCGUAAGCUUGCGCAG
This 93-nucleotide ribosomal RNA is filed under the name Allomuricauda sp. Its description in RNAcentral is "partial 23S ribosomal RNA". It matches the Rfam family "Bacterial large subunit ribosomal RNA", at positions 2832 to 2925 of the family's 2925-position model. Lineage: Bacteria; Pseudomonadati; Bacteroidota; Flavobacteriia; Flavobacteriales; Flavobacteriaceae. The record is from RNAcentral.